RNAcentral lists this transfer RNA (74 nucleotides) under Methylolobus aquaticus. RNAcentral describes it as "tRNA-Gln". It matches the Rfam family "tRNA". Rfam says of the family: Transfer RNA (tRNA) molecules are approximately 80 nucleotides in length. Their secondary structure includes four short double-helical elements and three loops (D, anti-codon, and T loops). Lineage: Bacteria; Pseudomonadati; Pseudomonadota; Gammaproteobacteria; Methylococcales; Methylococcaceae. RNAcentral also lists the same sequence under 2 other names. The record is from RNAcentral.
UGGGGGAUCGUCUAGUGGUAGGACAACGGACUCUGACUCCGUUAACCUAGGUUCGAAUCCUAGUCCCCCAGCCA